CUGUACCGAAGGUGGAGUUGUAGGACGGAAGAUCUCUGCCAUAAUGACCCACAUGGAACAUGAUGCCGGCGAACUGUCUGUGUAUGAACUUCAGCGACUUGAACAUCAGAGAGAAGGUUUUUUUGUCAUCUUUGAAGAUUUCACAAGCAUGUGGACAUGCAGCAGAGGAUCUCCGGACUCGGGAUGCAAGUGAGGCCAAAGCAAGAUAAUGAAGACCUUGAAUGCAGACAGGCCUAGGCAGACACUGCUGAGAAGACCAUGGGCAUCUACACAGUCCGGACAGAGGGUGAUGGUCUAGGUGAUGCAUGUUUUGAAGAUGUCU
Molecule: long non-coding RNA, 322 nt
Organism: Engraulis encrasicolus (European anchovy)
Lineage: Eukaryota; Metazoa; Chordata; Actinopteri; Clupeiformes; Engraulidae
Exons: 4
Source: RefSeq, a predicted model, not a curated record